CUAUUACUCCCUCCGUUCCAAAAUACUUAACCCCCACUUGUCUAGAUAUGUGGAUGUAUCUAUACUUGUUUAGUGUCUAAAUACAUCCAUGUCUAGACAAAUGGAAGUCAACUAAUUUGGAACGGAUGGAGUAUAUG
Non-coding RNA from Triticum aestivum (bread wheat), 137 nucleotides. NCBI's taxonomy places the organism in Eukaryota, Viridiplantae, Streptophyta, Magnoliopsida, Poales, Poaceae. The record is from Rfam.